GGCGUGUUUAAGACAUGCAAGUCGCACGGAGGAAUGUGAGUAGCAAUACAAGCAUUCUUCAGUGGCGCACGGGUGCGUAACACGUGAGUUACAUGCCCUGCAGAGGGGGAUAGCCCAGGGAAACUUGGAUUAAUACCCCAUGGUCUCGCAAGAGUAAAGGUGGCGCAAGCUGCCGCUGCAGGAUUGGCUCGCGGCCUAUCAGCUAGUUGGUGAGGUAACGGCUCACCAAGGCUACGACGGGUACCUGGUCUGAGAGGACGAUCAGGCACACUGGAACUGAGACAUGGUCCAGACACCUACGGGUGGCAGCAGUCGAGAAUCAUUCACAAUGGGGGCAACCCUGAUGGUGCAACGCCGCGUGGAGGAUGAAGGUCUUCGGAUUGUAAACUCCUGUCAUCUAGGAGCAAGGCAUGGUGGUGAAUAGCCAACAUGAUUGAUAGUACUAGAAGAGGAAGGGACGGCUAACUUCGUGCCAGCAGCCGCGGUAAUACGAAGGUCCCGAGCGUUAUUCGGAAUCACUGGGCGUAAAGGGAGCGUAGGCGGCGUGGAAAGUCAGAUGUGAAAUCCCGGGGCUCAACCCCGGAACUGCAUCCGAUACUACCAUGCUGGAGUAU
RNAcentral lists this ribosomal RNA (614 nucleotides) under uncultured bacterium. Its description in RNAcentral is "bacterial SSU rRNA". It matches the Rfam family "Bacterial small subunit ribosomal RNA", at positions 41 to 649 of the family's 1533-position model. The record is from RNAcentral.